Molecule: ribosomal RNA, 402 nt
Filed under: uncultured bacterium
Lineage: Bacteria
Description: bacterial SSU rRNA
Rfam family: Bacterial small subunit ribosomal RNA
Source: RNAcentral
UGGGGAAUAUUGGACAAUGGGCGCAAGCCUGAUCCAGCCAUGCCGCGUGAGUGAUGAAGGCCUUAGGGUUGUAAAGCUCUUUUGUCCGGGAGGAUAAUGACCGUACCGGAAGAAUAAGCUCCGGCUAACUUCGUGCCAGCAGCCGCGGUAAUACGAAGGGAGCUAGCGUUGUUCGGAAUUACUGGGCGUAAAGCGCAUGCAGGCGGAUCGUUAAGUCGGGGGUGAAAUCCCAGGGCUCAACCCUGGAACUGCCUUCGAUACUGGCGAUCUUGAGUCCGGGAGAGGUGAGUGGAACUCCGAGUGUAGAGGUGAAAUUCGUAGAUAUUCGGAAGAACACCAGUGGCGAAGGCGGCUCACUGGCCCUGUACUGACGCUGAGAUGCGAAAGCGUGGGGAGCAAACA